RNAcentral lists this ribosomal RNA (467 nucleotides) under uncultured bacterium. RNAcentral's name for it is "partial 16S ribosomal RNA". It matches the Rfam family "Bacterial small subunit ribosomal RNA", at positions 28 to 507 of the family's 1533-position model. The record is from RNAcentral.
GACGAACGCUGGCGGCGUGCUUAACACAUGCAAGUCGAACGGAAAGGCUCCAGCUUGCUGGAGUACUCGAGUGGCGAACGGGUGAGUAACACGUGGGUAAUCUGCCCUGCACUCUGGGAUAAGCCUGGGAAACUGGGUCUAAUACUGGAUAUGACCUUUCUCCUUAUGGGGUUUGGUGGAAAGUUUUUCGGUGUAGGAUGAGCCCGCGGCCUAUCAGCUUGUUGGUGGGGUGAUGGCCUACCAAGGCGACGACGGGUAGCCGGACUGAGAGGGUGAUCGGGCACAGUGGGACUGAGAUAGGGCCAAGACUCCUACGGGAGGGAGCAGUGGGGGAGAGUGAAAAAUGGGCGGAAGCCUGAUGCAGCGACGCCGAGUGAGGGAUGACGGCCAUCGGGUUGUAAACCUCUUUCAGCAGGGACGAAGCGUAAGUGACGGUACCUGCAGGAGAAGCACCGGCUAACUAUGUG